This 235-nucleotide long non-coding RNA is filed under the name Mytilus galloprovincialis (Mediterranean mussel). The record is from RNAcentral. Lineage: Eukaryota; Metazoa; Mollusca; Bivalvia; Mytilida; Mytilidae.
UCAAGACUUGAAUUAUCAUCUUUAACUAACAUAUUAAGUGCCCAUAUUUCACUGCAAUAAAGUAGUAUAGGUUUUAAACAACUUUCAAACAGUUUUAAAUGUGGAUGAAUAUUAAGUUUAUCUGAGAAUAAGAGCUUUCUAAUGCAAAACAUUGCCUUGGAAGCUUUUUUGCACAGAUGAUUGACAGCAUAAGUGAAAAUUCCUGAGGGCUUAAAUAAAAUACCCAAAUAUUUAU